CUCCGUUGACUUGGGCAAGAAUCCCCCCUUACCCUGGUAUUUCCUCUUAGUAAUUUUCCACCCACUGACCGCUGCCCUGAUCCUUGGCUAUAAAUUCCCAAUUUGCCUUGUUGUAAUUGGAGUUAAGCCCCAUCUCUCCCCUACUACAAAACCCCAUUGUAGCCCCCUUAAGUAAGGUCUGCCCUAAUGUCUUUAACAAGUGUUAUGAAUAAUUUCCUAUUUAGCAAAAUUUUUCCUUAAAUGUCCCCAAAUGUGGCCCUAUUUGAGACUUGCUGGUCAGACUUUGUUUAAGUGUCAAUCCCUGGGCCCCCCAAAUCAGAAACUAGGGGAAUAGGGUCUGCAUUUCUGAAAGCUCAGAAUUCCUACAGGAACUCAGUUCAGUGCACUCUGCUGGGGCAUGCACCUUGGGGGAAGACAACAAGAGGCAGGAAGAGAGACUCUGUUUCCAUUUGUUAUCUUAAAAUAAGGGAGUAUGUGUUACCCGUAUUUAACACUCAGAUUGGCGGCCAAGGUGCUCCCUCUGUGAACAGGGCACCUCCACACAGCUGCCCAGGUGGCCUGGGUGGUUUGCUUCCAGCCUGAUGCUGAACACUACAGUUUACACUGGAGUUAGCGACUAGUCUUAAUUAAAAUCAUACUCGCAGCUUAAAGCAGCCUAAAAGAGACCAGCAAAGAAACCCCCAGGCUGGGGACCUGACUAAGAAUGCAAGCACAAACACAGUGAACCUUCUACUGCAUUUUGGGGUAAAAGGAUGAUAAGAACAGUCAGCCCCAAAUUAUGAAAUUUGUGAAAUUAGCAAGACAGCCAUUUGAAAUGUGACUGACAACAAAUCAGCUCAUAAUGGGAUACUCUCCGUAUACUGGAGGUGCGUGGCAGGGGUCCUUGAUCCGAAGCUUGGAGCCUGGAUCCAGAAGCUGUCCCUUCCAGCUGCAGAGCAGUGUUGUAGAAUCCACCACCCAAUCAAUCACCCAAAUGCGAGCCAAGCUCAAAACAAGAGGGAGGCCUACAUGCACUGCCUCUGGGAAGCUGUCCUCGGCCCCCAGCAAACCCUAGGCAUCCGUGCUGUGACCACCCAGUGACCAAGCUCCCCACAGCACAACGUGACCCAGGUCUGGGCCUACCUUCCCAUCCUCGCCGAUGCUGUACACGGUGUUCUCAUCGUAGCUGAACUCCACAGAGUAGACCUCCCCGCAGUGAGCCUUCCAGCUCAUAGCACACUCGUGCUGCUGCAUAUCUGAGGCAAGGAGAUGCCACUAAGAUUCCUGUCUGGCCCCUGAGGAGGCAGCUGCCCAGCACGGGAGGCACCGCUUGCCCUCUGCCCAGUGGAUGGGAGCUGUUCUAGAGGCAGAGGGCCUCCUGAAGCUGACAGGCAUCUCAGAACUGACCCCUGUCAAAGAGGGGUCACUGGGUCCUUCGGCUUGCUGAUUAUCUCCUCCAUGGAUCUAAUCUUUUAUUUAACCUAGCUUAAAUAGCAGCUUCUUUGGCUGGGUCAAAAGAGAGGCUCAGGAAUCCCUGACUGAAGCCUGAGCUCAUCUGGGGAGCCCACAAGUCUAGAGGGACCCACAAGUCCUUCCUAGUGGCCUCUGUAACUUCCCAUCAGGGCACCUAGGGGAUCUGCUAAGGAUACAGACCCCAGUCCCAUCCAAGACUCUCCAACCCUGAGUCUCCUGGGCAGGCCUGGCAUAGGGAGCGUUACACAAUAUGGCAGAUGACUCCAGUGCAGACGUUCUGAUGCUUCUACAGGGAAAGUGACCCAGCUGCACCAAGGACAGGAUGGCAUUUCUCUGGUGUGUCAUCCUGGCUGUCACUCAGGCCACCAGGACUGUUUGAACAUCUCAAAACCGAAGGACCACUAAGCCCCAGCACUCCCACAUUCACUGGCACUGACCAUCUGCAAGGUGAAUGACCACGGAGGUUCUGAGAACAGCAGACUCUGACCAAAGUUAAGCUCUAUUAGGAGCAUCUUGAAUCAGGGUUUUGUGAAGGCAAAAAUGCAACUCCCUUCUCUAGGACAUUUAAGGAAGGGACCAGGACCGCCAGGAGCACC
Manis pentadactyla (Chinese pangolin) is the source of this 2048-nucleotide long non-coding RNA. RefSeq lists it as uncharacterized. The transcript has 3 exons. The record is from RefSeq and is a predicted model, not a curated record. Lineage: Eukaryota; Metazoa; Chordata; Mammalia; Pholidota; Manidae.